GAUGAAGAACGCAGCGAAAUGCGAUAAGUAAUGUGAAUUGCAGAAUUCAGUGAAUCAUCGAAUCUUUGAACGCACCUUGCGCUCCUUGGUAUUCCGAGGAGCAUGCCUGUUUGAGUGUCAUUAAAUUCUCAACCUCACCAGUUUUCUGAACUGCGUCG
RNAcentral lists this ribosomal RNA (158 nucleotides) under Coprinellus verrucispermus. RNAcentral's name for it is "5.8S ribosomal RNA". The stretch from base 1 to 120 matches the Rfam family "5.8S ribosomal RNA", at positions 35 to 154 of the family's 154-position model. From Rfam's summary of the family: 5.8S ribosomal RNA (5.8S rRNA) is a component of the large subunit of the eukaryotic ribosome. It is transcribed by RNA polymerase I as part of the 45S precursor that also contains 18S and 28S rRNA. Lineage: Eukaryota; Fungi; Basidiomycota; Agaricomycetes; Agaricales; Psathyrellaceae. The record is from RNAcentral.